GACGAACGCUGGCGGCGCGCCUAACACAUGCAAGUCGAACGAGCGAGAGAGAGCUUGCUUUCUCGAGCGAGUGGCGAACGGGUGAGUAACGCGUGAGGAACCUGCCUCAAAGAGGGGGACAACAGUUGGAAACGACUGCUAAUACCGCAUAAGCCCACGGGUCGGCAUCGACCAGAGGGAAAAGGAGCAAUCCGCUUUGAGAUGGCCUCGCGUCCGAUUAGCUAGUUGGUGAGGUAAUGGCCCACCAAGGCAACGAUCGGUAGCCGGACUGAGAGGUUGAACGGCCACAUUGGGACUGAGACACGGCCCAGACUCCUACGGGAGGCAGCAGUGGGGAAUAUUGCACAAUGGGGGAAACCCUGAUGCAGCGACGCCGCGUGGAGGAAGAAGGUCUUCGGAUUGUAAACUCCUGUUGUUGGGGAAGAUAAUGACGGUACCCAACAAGGAAGUGACGGCUAACUACGUGCCAGCAGCCGCGGUAAAACGUAGGUCACAAGCGUUGUCCGGAAUUACUGGGUGUAAAGGGAGCGCAGGCGGGAAGACAAGUUGGAAGUGAAAUCUAUGGGCUCAACCCAUAAACUGCUUUCAAAACUGUUUUUCUUGAGUAGUGCAGAGGUAGGCGGAAUUCCCGGUGUAGCGGUGGAAUGCGUAGAUAUCGGGAGGAACACCAGUGGCGAAGGCGGCCUACUGGGCACCAACUGACGCUGAGGCUCGAAAGUGUGGGUAGCAAACAGGAUUAGAUACCCUGGUAGUCCACACCGUAAACGAU
This 769-nucleotide ribosomal RNA is filed under the name uncultured bacterium. RNAcentral describes it as "bacterial SSU rRNA". It matches the Rfam family "Bacterial small subunit ribosomal RNA", at positions 28 to 810 of the family's 1533-position model. The record is from RNAcentral.